Molecule: ribosomal RNA, 294 nt
Filed under: uncultured bacterium
Lineage: Bacteria
Description: partial 16S ribosomal RNA
Rfam family: Bacterial small subunit ribosomal RNA
Source: RNAcentral
GUGGCUUAGAUACCCCGGUAGUCCACGCUGUAAACGAUGAGCACUAGGUGUGGGGGGGUUCAGUCCCUUCCGUGCCGCAGCUAACGCAUUAAGUGCUCCGCCUGGGGAGUACGGCCGCAAGGUUGAAACUCAAAGGAAUUGACGGGGGCCCGCACAAGCGGUGGAGCAUGUGGUUCAAUUCGAUGCAGAGCGAAGAACCUUACCUGGGCUUGACAUGCAGGAAGUAGAAACCGGAAACGGGGACGACCUGUUAAGUCAGGAACCUGCACAGGUGGUGCACGGUUGUCGUCAACU